Molecule: long non-coding RNA, 796 nt
Organism: Medicago truncatula (barrel medic)
Lineage: Eukaryota; Viridiplantae; Streptophyta; Magnoliopsida; Fabales; Fabaceae
Exons: 2
Source: RefSeq, a predicted model, not a curated record
GAGGUCGGGGUCUAAUGUUGUGUUGACAAGUUUUGUUGGACAUAGUCCUUGCAAAUAGUCCUCUUUGGUGAUUCUCAAAGUAUGUUCAUCAGGUAUCUGAAUCAGUUUCAAAAGGAUUAUGAACUGAAGAAAAUGGAGGAUAGGGUUGAUAUUAUACAUGGAAGCCAUGCUGAGAGAUCAAUGAACUAAAAGGAACUGGUUUAUGUAUUGACCAAAAGGAGUGAUGGAGCAGAGGUUUCUUUCUUGUGGAACAAAGUGGGAGUGAAUAAUAAUAGGAUUGGCGUUCUAGAGAUAGACAUAAAAUCUUGAUUUAGUCAGCUUAAAAUUAAUUUGAUUUUAACUCCCCUUUCACUUUCAUGUUUAUAUUAUGAAAAAUCAAUUUCAUAUUUCAAUGCAUCAUAAUUUCCAUACUUUGUGAAGUUUCUAGGAAGCUAUAAAAUGUAGAGUUUGAUACAUUAACUUAUGAGUGUUAUGCUUUCUAUUGAAGUAGAGGAUUGUUUUCAUUUGCCUAGAAACAUGUCCUACAUGAUCUUCAAUAUUUUUAGGAAAGGAAAUUGUUGUACUCAUAAAAUUGCUAAUACUGGUUUAUUUGUUAUUAGUUUCACUCGGUAGGGCAAUCUUCCAAAUGUUAUUACGAAGGAUUUUCAUAGAAAUAAGUUAGGAUUACCUAAACAUAGAUUUUACUAAUUUGAUGUUGAAUGAUGUUUUACUUUGCACUUUUUUCCCCUUCUCCUAUGUUUUAUUUAUUUGGAUUUUUUUUGGGGAAGGUUUCUAAUGAAGUAGAGAUUAGCAUUCA